This 254-nucleotide ribosomal RNA is filed under the name uncultured bacterium. RNAcentral's name for it is "partial 16S ribosomal RNA". It matches the Rfam family "Bacterial small subunit ribosomal RNA", at positions 524 to 776 of the family's 1533-position model. The record is from RNAcentral.
UACGUAGGGGCCUAGCGUUGUCCGGAUUUAUUGGGCGUAAAGAGCUCGUAGGCGGUUCGGUAAGUCAGGUGUGAAAUCUCCACGCUCAACGUGGAGGGGCCACCUGAUACUGCCGUGACUCGAGUCCGGUAGGGGAGUGCGGAAUUCCAGGUGUAGCGGUGAAAUGCGUAGAUAUCUGGAGGAACACCGGUGGCGAAGGCGGCAUCCUGGACCGACACUGACACUGAGGAGCGAAAGCCAGGGGAGCAAACGGG